AUACCAUGAUGAGGGCAUUGUCUCCUCAUCUCUUUGAAACUCUCCCAUGACUUUGCCAAAGACUUACCACCCAACUGUCUGAAAUUCUGAAUUGAUCUCCUCAUUUUCUGAGUCU
Molecule: small nucleolar RNA, 115 nt
Filed under: Ipomoea nil (Japanese morning glory)
Lineage: Eukaryota; Viridiplantae; Streptophyta; Magnoliopsida; Solanales; Convolvulaceae
Description: Plant small nucleolar RNA R71
Rfam family: Plant small nucleolar RNA R71
About the family: R71 is a member of the C/D box family of snoRNAs containing the C (UGAUGA) and D (CUGA) box motifs. Multiple nearly identical copies of this snoRNA have been identified in Arabidopsis, and it is thought to function as a 2'-O-ribose methylation guide for 18S ribosomal RNA.
Source: Rfam by way of RNAcentral